UCCCAGGUGGCUCAGUAGUAAAGAAUUUGCCUGUUAAGCAAGAAACACAGGUUCACUCCCUGGGUUGGGAA
RNAcentral lists this transfer RNA (71 nucleotides) under Ovis aries (sheep). It matches the Rfam family "tRNA". From Rfam's summary of the family: Transfer RNA (tRNA) molecules are approximately 80 nucleotides in length. Their secondary structure includes four short double-helical elements and three loops (D, anti-codon, and T loops). Further hydrogen bonds mediate the characteristic L-shaped molecular structure. tRNAs have two regions of fundamental functional importance: the anti-codon, which is responsible for specific mRNA codon recognition, and the 3' end, to which the tRNAs corresponding amino acid is attached (by aminoacyl-tRNA synthetases). tRNAs cope with the degeneracy of the genetic code in two manners: having more than one tRNA (with a specific anti-codon) for a particular amino acid; and 'wobble' base-pairing, i.e. permitting non-standard base-pairing at the 3rd anti-codon position. Lineage: Eukaryota; Metazoa; Chordata; Mammalia; Artiodactyla; Bovidae. The record is from Rfam by way of RNAcentral.